RNAcentral lists this ribosomal RNA (253 nucleotides) under uncultured bacterium. RNAcentral describes it as "partial 16S ribosomal RNA". It matches the Rfam family "Bacterial small subunit ribosomal RNA", at positions 524 to 776 of the family's 1533-position model. The record is from RNAcentral.
UACGUAUGGUGCAAGCGUUAUCCGGAUUUACUGGGUGUAAAGGGAGCGUAGACGGAGCAGCAAGUCUGGAGUGAAAACCCGGGGCUCAACCCCGGGACUGCUUUGGAAACUGUUGUUCUAGAGUGCUGGAGAGGUAAGUGGAAUUCCUAGUGUAGCGGUGAAAUGCGUAGAUAUUAGGAGGAACACCAGUGGCGAAGGCGGCUUACUGGACAGUAACUGACGUUGAGGCUCGAAAGCGUGGGGAGCAAACAGG